GACGAACGCUGGCGGCGCGCUUAACACAUGCAAGUCGAACGGAAAGGCCUGCUUUCCCUUGUGGAUUGCGGGUACUCGAGUGGCGAACGGGUGAGUAACACGUGAGUGAUCUGCCCCCAACUUGGGUAUAAGCCUGGGAAACUGGGUCUAAUUCCCGAUAGGACUGCAGGGUGGUGCCUGUGGUGGAAAACGAUUUUCUAGUGGUUGGGGAUGAGCUCGCGGCCUAUCAGCUUGUUGGUGGGGUAAUGGCCUACCAAGGCGGCGACGGGUAGCCGGCCUGGGAGGGUGGACGGCCACGUUGGGACGGGGAUACGGCCCAGACACCUACGGGAGGCGGCGGUGGGAAUAUUGCACAAGGGGCGGAAGCCUGAUGCAGCGACGCGGCGUGGGGGAUGACGGCCUUCGGGUUGUAAACUCCUUUCGACCGCGAGGAAGCCACCUGGUUGGAAGGGUGGUGACGGUAGUGGUAGAAGAAGCACCGGCUAACUACGUG
Molecule: ribosomal RNA, 493 nt
Filed under: uncultured bacterium
Lineage: Bacteria
Description: partial 16S ribosomal RNA
Rfam family: Bacterial small subunit ribosomal RNA
Source: RNAcentral